UACGGAGGAUGCGAGCGUUAUCCGGAUUUAUUGGGUUUAAAGGGUGCGUAGGCGGGACCUUAAGUCAGCGGUAAAAUUGCGGUGCUCAACGCCGUAGAGCCGUUGAAACUGGGGUUCUUGAGUGAGCGAGAAGUAUGCGGAAUGCGUGGUGUAGCGGUGAAAUGCUUAGAUAUCAUGAAGAACUCCGAUCGCGAAGGCAAGUGUCCGGGGUGCAACUGACGCUGAGGCUCGAAAGUGCGGGUAUCAAACAGG
Molecule: ribosomal RNA, 252 nt
Filed under: uncultured Bacteroidales bacterium
Lineage: Bacteria; Pseudomonadati; Bacteroidota; Bacteroidia; Bacteroidales
Description: partial 16S ribosomal RNA
Rfam family: Bacterial small subunit ribosomal RNA
Source: RNAcentral